RNAcentral lists this unclassified non-coding RNA (354 nucleotides) under Hevea brasiliensis (rubber tree). Lineage: Eukaryota; Viridiplantae; Streptophyta; Magnoliopsida; Malpighiales; Euphorbiaceae. The record is from RNAcentral.
AAAAUGGCUGAUAUAAACUCUACUCCCAUGAACAAAUUAAGGUAGAAUUAGAAUGUUCUUGCUAAUGGGAACAUCGAUGUGGACUUCCACAAGGAGCAGAUCACUUAUAGAUGAAAGUGAAUUGGAGACUUCCAAAGACAAGGAACGGACUUUGAAGUCAACAGAAGAGAUUGAUCACCAAUUGAAAGUAUCUUAUGACUCGUGUUAAACAUGCUUUUAGAGGGUUAAACUUUGACAUUGAUCAAUAUGAUUGCUACUCGUAGAAUGUUAAAUUCAUAGGACUAUCUCCUAAGAGUUUUGAAGAUCAACUAAAUAACAUGCCCAGGGCUAUGCAUAAUUUAGAUUUCUUUAAAA